Molecule: long non-coding RNA, 189 nt
Organism: Protopterus annectens (West African lungfish)
Lineage: Eukaryota; Metazoa; Chordata; Ceratodontiformes; Protopteridae
Exons: 2
Source: RefSeq, a predicted model, not a curated record
AUUUACAGGAAGGAAAAUGUGAGACUGCUGCACAUUUCUGCUGCUUGCGACAUUUGAGCUGUUACUAUGGACACCCAUUGUGACGUCGCUGUAAAGAACUGGGAUUAUGGCAGAUGAAUUCUGAAGGACAAAGGCCAUUUAUUUGUGCAGAUCACUUCAUUACUGAAUAAAGAACAAAAACAACUUGCA